This 785-nucleotide ribosomal RNA is filed under the name uncultured Neocallimastigales. Its description in RNAcentral is "partial large subunit ribosomal RNA". It matches the Rfam family "Eukaryotic large subunit ribosomal RNA", at positions 22 to 639 of the family's 3401-position model. Lineage: Eukaryota; Fungi; Neocallimastigomycota; Neocallimastigomycetes; Neocallimastigales. The record is from RNAcentral.
CAUAGCGACUAUCGUGGCAUAUCAAUAAGCGGAGGAAAAGAAACUAACAAGGAUUCCCCUAGUAACGGCGAGGUGAAGCGGGAAGAGCUCAAAUUUGAAAUCUUAAAGGGUUUCCCUUUACGAAUUGUAGUUUAAAGAAGUGUUUUCUGUUGGAGUUUCGGUAAAAGUUCUUUGGAAUAGGACAUCAUAGAGGGUGAGAAUCCCGUAUUUGACCGUUACUUUCCAGCUGUGUGAUACACUCUCAAAGAGUCAGAUUGUUUGGGAAUGCAGUCCAAAAUGGGUGGUAAAUUUCAUCUAAAGUUAAAUAUUGGCGAGAGACCGAUAGCGAACAAGUACCGUGAGGGAAAGAUGAAAAGAACUUUGAAAAGAGAGUUAAACAGUACGUGAAAUUGUCAAAAGGGAAGCGUUUGACACCAGUGUUGUUUAGUUGAAAAUCAAUUCAAUGAUUUUUCGAUUUUGAAGUAGUAUUGACCUUCAUCAGCUUGCUGCUUUCUUUUCUCGGAAAUUAUUGAAUGCACUUUUCAGUUAACAAGUCAACAUCAAUUUCUUUUGUUGUAAAAGGGUAAGAGGAAGGUGGCUUACGCUUCGGCGUAAGUGUUUAUAGCCUUUUACCUCUGCAAUCGGAGAGAUUGAGGACAGCAGCGUAGACUCCUUCGGGGGUUAGAUACACUUGUGCUAAGCUAUAGCCUUGUAUAGACAACUUGUUGACUAUGCUCAGUCACUGCAGCUUACUCGCUUGAUGCUAUUUUACCUACGCUUAGGAUGUUGACGCGCGUGUGUGCGUG